GGAGACGUGGCCGAGUGGUCGAAGGCGCACGCCUGGAAAGUGUGUAGGCGAGGAAUCGUCUCGAGGGUUCGAAUCCCUUCGUCUCCGCCA
This 90-nucleotide transfer RNA is filed under the name uncultured Cryomorphaceae bacterium. RNAcentral's name for it is "tRNA-Ser(gga)". It matches the Rfam family "tRNA". Rfam says of the family: Transfer RNA (tRNA) molecules are approximately 80 nucleotides in length. Their secondary structure includes four short double-helical elements and three loops (D, anti-codon, and T loops). The record is from RNAcentral. Lineage: Bacteria; Pseudomonadati; Bacteroidota; Flavobacteriia; Flavobacteriales; Cryomorphaceae.